UACAGAGGUCUCAACCGUUGUUCGGAUUCAUUGGGCGUAAAGCGCGUGUAGGCGGCUAUGCAAGUCGGGCGUGAAAUCCCACGGCUCAACCGUGGAAGUGCACUCGAAACUGCGUAGCUAGAGUCCCGGAGAGGAAGGUGGAAUACUUGGUGUAGAGGUGAAAUUCGUAGAUAUCAAGUGGAACACCGGUGGCGAAGGCGGCCUUCUGGACGGUGACUGACGCUGAGACGCGAAAGCGUGGGGAGCAAACAGG
Molecule: ribosomal RNA, 253 nt
Filed under: uncultured bacterium
Lineage: Bacteria
Description: partial 16S ribosomal RNA
Rfam family: Bacterial small subunit ribosomal RNA
Source: RNAcentral